This 399-nucleotide ribosomal RNA is filed under the name uncultured bacterium. RNAcentral describes it as "partial 16S ribosomal RNA". It matches the Rfam family "Bacterial small subunit ribosomal RNA", at positions 523 to 918 of the family's 1533-position model. The record is from RNAcentral.
AUACGUAGGGUCCAAGCAUUAUCCGGAUUGACUGGGUGUAAAGAGUUGCGUAGGUGGCAUAGUAAGUAGACAGUGAAAUCUGGUGGCUCAACCAUUCAGACUAUUGUCUAAACUGCUAAGCUCGAGAAUGUUAGGGGUAGCUGGAAUUUCUAGUGUAGGAGUGAAAUCCGUAGAUAUUAGAAAGAACACCGAUAGCGUAGGCAGGCUACUGGGACAUUUCUGACACGAAGGCACGAAAGCGUAGGGAGCAAACGGGAUUAGAUACCCCGGUAGUCUACGCCGUAAACGAUGGAUACUAGCAGUUUGGGGUAUCGACCCCCCGAGUUGCGAAGCUAACGCGUUAAGUAUCCCACCUGUGUAGUACGAUCGCAAGGCUGAAACUUAAAGGAAUUGACGGGG